GAAGGGGUUCCCGAGUGGCCAAAGGGAGCAGACUGUAAAUCUGCCGGCACUGCCUUCGAUGGUUCGAAUCCGUCCCCCNYCM
Molecule: transfer RNA, 82 nt
Filed under: Vibrio parahaemolyticus
Lineage: Bacteria; Pseudomonadati; Pseudomonadota; Gammaproteobacteria; Vibrionales; Vibrionaceae
Description: tRNA-Tyr
Source: RNAcentral